Molecule: small RNA, 95 nt
Filed under: Marmota monax (woodchuck)
Lineage: Eukaryota; Metazoa; Chordata; Mammalia; Rodentia; Sciuridae
Source: RNAcentral
GCUGGCAUAGUGAAGCAUGCCUGUAAUCCCAGCUACUUAGGAGGCUGAGACAGGAUUGUAUUUUGAGGCCAGCCUCAGCAGAGACCCUGUCUUGA